RNAcentral lists this transfer RNA (65 nucleotides) under Marenzelleria neglecta. RNAcentral's name for it is "tRNA-Lys". Lineage: Eukaryota; Metazoa; Annelida; Polychaeta; Spionida; Spionidae. The record is from RNAcentral.
CAUUUAGAAGCUAUGCAUCAGCACUAACCUUUUAAGUUAGCUACAGAUUCCCUUAUCCUAAAUGA